GAUGAACGCUGGCGGCGUGCCUAAUACAUGCAAGUCGAGCGAACGGACGAGAAGCUUGCUUCUCUGAUGUUAGCGGCGGACGGGUGAGUACCACGUGGAUAACCUACCUAUAAGACUGGGAUAACUUCGGGAAACCGGAGCUAAUACCGGAUAAUAUUUUGAACCGCAUGGUUCAAAAGUGAAAGACGGUCUUGCUGUCACUUAUAGAUGGAUCCGCGCUGCAUUAGCUAGUUGGUAAGGUAACGGCUUACCAAGGCAACGAUGCAUAGCCGACCUGAGAGGGUGAUCGGCCACACUGGAACUGAGACACGGUCCAGACUCCUACGGGAGGCAGCAGUAGGGAAUCUUCCGCAAUGGGCGAAAGCCUGACGGAGCAGCGCCGCGUGAGUGAUGAAGGUCUUCGGAUCGUAAAACUCUGUUAUUAGGGAAGAACAUAUGUGUAAGUAACUGUGCACAUCUUGACGGUACCUAAUCAGAAAGCCACGGCUAACUACGUG
Molecule: ribosomal RNA, 497 nt
Filed under: uncultured bacterium
Lineage: Bacteria
Description: partial 16S ribosomal RNA
Rfam family: Bacterial small subunit ribosomal RNA
Source: RNAcentral